GACGAACGCUGGCGGCGUGCUUAACACAUGCAAGUCGAACGAAGAGCGAUGGAAGCUUGCUUCUAUCAAUCUUAGUGGCGAACGGGUGAGUAACGCGUAAUCAACCUGCCCUUCAGAGGGGGACAACAGUUGGAAACGACUGCUAAUACCGCAUACGAUCUAAUCUCGGCAUCGAGGAUAGAUGAAAGGUGGCCGCUACAUGUAAGCUAUCACUGAAGGAGGGGAUUGCGUCUGAUUAGCUAGUUGGAGGGGUAACGGCCCACCAAGGCGAGGAUCAGUAGCCGGUCUGAGAGGAUGAACGGCCCCAUUGGGACUGAGACACGGCCCAGACUCCUACGGGAGGCAGCAGUGGGGAAUCUUCCGCAAUGGACGAAAGUCUGACGGAGCAACGCCGCGUGAGUGAUGACGGCCUUCGGGUUGUAAAGCUCUGUUAAUCGGGACGAAAGGCCUUCUUGCGAAUAGUGAGAAGGAUUGACGGUACCGGAAGAGAAAGCCACGGCUAACUACGUG
Molecule: ribosomal RNA, 510 nt
Filed under: uncultured bacterium
Lineage: Bacteria
Description: partial 16S ribosomal RNA
Rfam family: Bacterial small subunit ribosomal RNA
Source: RNAcentral